This 252-nucleotide ribosomal RNA is filed under the name uncultured bacterium. RNAcentral describes it as "partial 16S ribosomal RNA". It matches the Rfam family "Bacterial small subunit ribosomal RNA", at positions 524 to 776 of the family's 1533-position model. The record is from RNAcentral.
UACGUAGGGUGCUAGCGUUGUCCGGAUUUAUUGGGCGUAAAGAGCGUGUAGGCGGCUGGGUAGGUCCGUUGUGAAAACUCGAGGCUCAACCUCGAGACGCCGAUGGAAACCCCCGGCUAGAGUCCGGAAGAGGAGAGUGGAAUUCCUGGUGUAGCGGUGAAAUGCGCAGAUAUCAGGAGGAACACCGGUGGCGAAGGCGGGUCUCUGGGCCGAUACUGACGCUGAGGAGCGAAAGCGUGGGGAGCGAACAGG